This is a non-coding RNA of Pseudomonas sp., 67 nucleotides long. The record is from Rfam. Lineage: Bacteria; Pseudomonadati; Pseudomonadota; Gammaproteobacteria; Pseudomonadales; Pseudomonadaceae.
GGGAGCGAGCGGCAUGGAUGCCGCGAGAGGCGUAAAGGGCCAGGGAUGGCCCUUGUACGCCGGUCCC